RNAcentral lists this ribosomal RNA (409 nucleotides) under Campylobacter coli. Its description in RNAcentral is "partial 23S ribosomal RNA". It matches the Rfam family "Bacterial large subunit ribosomal RNA", at positions 1 to 429 of the family's 2925-position model. Lineage: Bacteria; Pseudomonadati; Campylobacterota; Epsilonproteobacteria; Campylobacterales; Campylobacteraceae. The record is from RNAcentral.
AAAGGUAAGCUACUAAGAGCGAAUGGUGGAUGCCUUGACUGGUAAAGGCGAUGAAGGACGUACUAGACUGCGAUAAGCUACGGGGAGCUGUCAAGAAGCUUUGAUCCGUAGAUUUCCGAAUGGGGCAACCCAAUGUAUAGAGAUAUACAUUACCUAUAUAGGAGCGAACGAGGGGAAUUGAAACAUCUUAGUACCCUCAGGAAAAGAAAUCAAUAGAGAUUGCGUCAGUAGCGGCGAGCGAAAGCGCAAGAGGGCAAACCCAGUGCUUGCACUGGGGGUUGUAGGACUGCAAUGUGCAAGAGGUGAGUUUAGCAGAACAUUCUGGAAAGUAUAGCCAUAGAGGGUGAUAGUCCCGUAUGCGAAAAACAAACCUUAGCUAGCAGUAUCCUGAGUAGGGCGGGACACGAGA